This 467-nucleotide ribosomal RNA is filed under the name uncultured bacterium. RNAcentral describes it as "partial 16S ribosomal RNA". The stretch from base 19 to 331 matches the Rfam family "Bacterial small subunit ribosomal RNA", at positions 47 to 358 of the family's 1533-position model. The record is from RNAcentral.
ACGAACGCUGGCGGCGUGCUUAACACAUGCAAGUCGAACGGAAAGGCCCUGCUUUUGUGGGGUGCUCGAGUGGCGAACGGGUGAGUAACACGUGAGUAACCUGCCCUUGACUUUGGGAUAACUUCAGGAAACUGGGGCUAAUACCGGAUAGGAGCUCCUGCUGCAUGGUGGGGGUUGGAAAGUUUCGGCGGUUGGGGAUGGACUCGCGGCUUAUCAGCUUGUUGGCGGGGUAGUGGCUUACCAAGGCUUUGACGGGUAGCCGGCCUGAGAGGGUGGCGGGGGACGAGAGGACUGUGCGACGGGGCAGAGGGAGACGGGAGGAAACGGGGGGGAGGGUGGUACAGUGGGCCGGAGCGUGAGGAGGAGGUGCCGGGUGGGGAAGGACGGGGAAGGGGUGGGGAAGGGCAGGAAGCUGAGACCGGGCGGGGGGGAGGUUAAUGGGAAAAGAAGCAACGGAUAACUUCGUG